Molecule: ribosomal RNA, 253 nt
Filed under: uncultured bacterium
Lineage: Bacteria
Description: partial 16S ribosomal RNA
Rfam family: Bacterial small subunit ribosomal RNA
Source: RNAcentral
UACAGAGGUCUCAAGCGUUGUUCGGAUUCAUUGGGCGUAAAGGGCGCGUAGGCUGCGGGGCAAGUCGGGUGUGAAAUCUCAGAGCUCAACUCUGAAACUGCAUUCGAUACUGCCGUGCUUGAGGACUGGAGAGGAGACUGGAAUUUACGGUGUAGCGGUGAAAUGCGUAGAUAUCGUAAGGAAGACCAGUGGCGAAGGCGGGUCUCUGGACAGUUCCUGACGCUGAGGCACGAAGGUCAGGGGAGCAAACGGG